GCGUAAUAGCUCACUGGUCGAGUCGGCCUGCGCGGAAGAUGUAACGGGGCUAAACCAUGCACCGAAGCUGCGGCAGCGACACUAUGUGUUGUUGGGUAGGGGAGCGUUCUGUAAGCCUGCGAAGGUGUGCUGUGAGGCAUGCUGGAGGUAUCAGAAGUGCGAAUGCUGACAUAAGUAACGAUAAAGCGGGUGAAAAGCCCGCUCGCCGGAAGACCAAGGGUUCCUGUCCAACGUUAAUCGGGGCAGGGUGAGUCGACCCCUAAGGCGAGGCCGAAAGGCGUAGUCGAUGGGAAACAGGUUAAUAUUCCUGUACUUGGUGUUACUGCGAAGGGGGGACGGAGAAGGCUAUGUUAGCCGGGCGACGGUUGUCCCGGUUUAAGCAUGUAGGCUGGUUAUCCAGGCAAAUCCGGAUAAUCAAGGCUGAGGUGUGAUGACGAGGCACUACGGUGCUGAAGUAACAAAUGCCCUGCUUCCAGGAAAAGCCUCUAAGCAUCAGGUAACAUUAAAUCGUACCCCAAACCGACACAGGUGGUCAGGUAGAGAAUACCAAGGCGCUUGAGAGAACUCGGGUGAAGGAACUAGGCAAAAUGGUGCCGUAACUUCGGGAGAAGGCACGCUGGUGUGUAGGUGAAGCCCCUGCGGGUGGAGCUGAGACCAGUCGAAGAUACCAGCUGGCUGCAACUGUUUAUUAAAAACACAGCACUGUGCAAACACGAAAGUGGACGUAUACGGUGUGACGCCUGCCCGGUGCCGGAAGGUUAAUUGAUGGG
Molecule: ribosomal RNA, 770 nt
Filed under: Klebsiella pneumoniae
Lineage: Bacteria; Pseudomonadati; Pseudomonadota; Gammaproteobacteria; Enterobacterales; Enterobacteriaceae
Description: partial 23S ribosomal RNA
Rfam family: Bacterial large subunit ribosomal RNA
Source: RNAcentral